ACAACCAUAUCACAUUGAAACACUGGUUCCCAUACAAUCACUGGAGUUAAAUAACAUUGAGCCUGGUCAGUACCUAGAUGGGUGACCACUUCAGAAUAUUAGGUGCUGUAAU
This 112-nucleotide ribosomal RNA is filed under the name Acanthosepion pharaonis. The record is from RNAcentral. Lineage: Eukaryota; Metazoa; Mollusca; Cephalopoda; Sepiida; Sepiidae.